AAUGUGGAAUUCGCCCUUCCGCGGUAAUUCCAGCUCCAAGAGCGUAUAUUAACGCUGUUGCUGUUAAAGGGUUCGUAGUUGAACUGAGGGCAACCAAGGAGACGAUCAAGUCCCGCUCUGUUUCUCAGGGUCGGCGACCAUCGCUCUUGCUGCUCGUGAACAUUUCAGAAACAAAGACCACGGAAUCGCUAUUCUGCCCGACAUCUCUCGCAUGCGAUGCAUGCAGUGCGGGCGGAUGUCCGUGAUUUUUACUGUGACUAAAAGAGCGUGACCAAAGCAGUCAUUCGACAUGAAUUUCAAAGCAUGGGAUAACCAAGGAGCAACCUACGGCUACCUUGUUACGACUUAAGGGCGAAUUCCACAGUG
Molecule: ribosomal RNA, 366 nt
Filed under: uncultured marine eukaryote
Lineage: Eukaryota
Description: bacterial SSU rRNA
Rfam family: Eukaryotic small subunit ribosomal RNA
Source: RNAcentral